UUGAGUGCGGGGUGUUGUCGCGGUUCAACCUCACCGUGACAUCAAUUAAUAAAGGGUUUGACUUCAAGGUUUGGUUGAGUCGCGCCAAUAUCCCGUGUCCUGAA
RNAcentral lists this microRNA precursor (104 nucleotides) under Eucalyptus grandis. Lineage: Eukaryota; Viridiplantae; Streptophyta; Magnoliopsida; Myrtales; Myrtaceae. The record is from RNAcentral.